RNAcentral lists this long non-coding RNA (914 nucleotides) under Echeneis naucrates (live sharksucker). RNAcentral describes it as "lncRNA (ENSENLG00000008109.1)". The record is from RNAcentral. Lineage: Eukaryota; Metazoa; Chordata; Actinopteri; Carangiformes; Echeneidae.
UGAUCUUAUAAUGAAAUUUUAUUUGGAGUCCUACAUCAUGUAUAGCUCACAAACCAGCAUCUGUUAUUAUUAUUAUUAUUAUUAUUAUUAUUAUUAUUAUCAUGGGCUGACACAGUUAAAGCCUCACUGGGUCCAGUAUUUUGGGCUCUGAGGCCAUCUCAGCUUCCUGUUCCACUUUGAGCUCAUUGGUGAGCUCCGAUCAGGCGGGUGGGGGCUGAAGGGGGCUGAAGGGGGGGGGGGGGGGCAUCCACUACUGCGCCUCUCUGCGUCCGCCGUGCGCUGCUGCGGCGGCGGCGGAGGAGGAGGAGGAGGAAGAGGAGGAAGAGGAAGAGGAAGGGACCAGAGAAACCGUCCACAGCCAUUCAAACGCAGAGAGAGCAGCAGUGAAUGGAAGCAGCGCGGUGUUUACCUCCCGUCACAUGCCGAGGUCCAGAGGUCCAGAGGUGCUGAGAUAUGAUGCUCGGCAGAAAGCAGCUGCAUGAGAUCCGGAUUCUACCAUGAGAGGAACCGGCAUGGACCUGCUGUGGAGGAUCCUCGCAGCUCUCAGCUUCGACUGCUUCAAAGAUUCAUCGUCUUCAAGGUCCCCCACCAAGCUGAGCUCCAGCCAGGCCGGCAGCCUGGAGAGCAGCUCCCUGACCGGCUCCCUGUCGCUGGGCCCCGACCUGCCUCACUGCCAGUGCUGCAUCUCCUAUGAGGUCCGUCUGAAGCGUCUGUCCUGCGGCCACCUCUACUGCGACCCCUGCUGCGACCAGAUCGUCAACCUGGCCUUCGAGGACAUCGAGGGCCUGUCCGACUACCCCUGUCCGAUGUGCAAGUCCAUCCGGCAGCUGGGAGGCCUGGGCCCGUCCUCCUCUGAGUACUUCUGCGGGCCCUACAGCAUGCUGCAGCAGGAGCACGGGAGCCGGUGGGGUUAG